AUUCACUUCAGGACAUGACAGUGAGUCUGUCAAUAGUAGUUCAUGUGAGACCCUGGUGGUAUGAACAUAAGUGAUGAUGUGGGCCCCAGCACAGACCAUCUGAUUUGCAUAUGCAUGGGCAAGUGAUUAAGUGUUCUAACACUUUGAGUUACCGUGAUUUUUUUUUUUUUGGCAAGUAUUCGGGGAAAAAAAAUGAUGGUUUUACCAACUGUAGAAAACACAAGUUUUCACUUGUAUAUUUCAGGAAGGUUUAUGUUGAACACUGUGAGGCAUUACAUACAUCCAAGUAUUUAUCUUGUGUUCUCUUCGUAGUACUAUUUAUAUGAUAUUUAGAAGCGUCCGAGGGGCGCCUGGGUGGCGCAGUCGGUUGAGCGUCCGACUUCAGCCAGUUCACGAUCUCGUGGUCCGUGAGUUCAAGCCCCGCGUCAGGCUCUGGGCUGAUGGCUCCGAGCCUGGAGCCUGUUUCUGAUUCUGUGUCUCCCUCUCUCUCUGCCCCUCCCCCGUUCAUGCUCUGUCUCUCUCUGUCCCAAAAAUAAAUAAACGUUGAAAAAAAAAUUUUUUUAGAAGCGUCCGAACACUGAGUUUUCUGACCUUGUUGCUAACUUUUAAUUACAAGUAUUCAGAGUUGGUUUGUUCCAUAAUGAUGAAGUGAACAAUCUUUUUUGCAGGUGUCAUGGUAGAAAAAGUUGUUUCCAUUAACCCUGAUUUCGUAACGUGUUUUCCAGAUCCUUGUCAAGACCUCAGGAUGAACUUAGCAGCAGUCAUUAAUAGGGGCGGAUAUCCUGUUGAUACGCAGGUGUCCUGUAAAGAAAUACUGUCUUCCCUGACAACAAUGGUCUUGAUCUUGGAGUACUGCAAGCGUUCAGGUUCCUUCAAGAUCCUGAAGCACUUAACAGUGGUCGGUAAUGGGGGACAUUUCUUGUGUCCAGGUUCCGGUCAAGAAAUCAUGGUAUGCCUCAUAAUGACCAUGAACAGAACUUUGCUCGCAGCCAGGCUCAGGUUAAGACAUCAUGGGGAGUAUAUCCUUCGUGGUAAAUGAGGCACAUAGCAGGUAUGGAGGUAAGUGAUGAUGUGGGCCUGAAUCACAGCACAGACCAUCUGAUUCUAUAUGCAGGUAAGGUAUUAUGGUCCUAACACUUCUUGUUACUAUGAUUUUGUUACAGGUGUUCAGGUAAGAGAUAGUCCUUACCAAAUCUAGUGACCUUGACUUUAUACGUUUUACAUUUUAGAGAUAAACGUUUAACCCUGUGAGUUUUGAGAGCUGAUUGUAUCCAUAACUGUUAAUUUCCCACCCCAGUAGUAACCACAGUGUAUUUGCAGGAAGUCUGCUUCAGACAUGAUGGCCUUCUUCUGAUGAAGGUGUUGACCUGAGUUGAUGCAAACGUCAAG
RNAcentral lists this long non-coding RNA (1389 nucleotides) under Felis catus (domestic cat). RNAcentral's name for it is "lncRNA (ENSFCAG00000052054.1)". The record is from RNAcentral. Lineage: Eukaryota; Metazoa; Chordata; Mammalia; Carnivora; Felidae.